Molecule: transfer RNA, 80 nt
Filed under: Candidatus Pacearchaeota archaeon
Lineage: Archaea; Nanobdellati
Description: tRNA-Ser
Rfam family: tRNA
About the family: Transfer RNA (tRNA) molecules are approximately 80 nucleotides in length. Their secondary structure includes four short double-helical elements and three loops (D, anti-codon, and T loops).
Source: RNAcentral
GCCCAUAUCGUGUAAUGGUAUCGCACCGGUCUAGAAAACCGGACCCUCUGGGUAUCCCCGUUCGAUUCGGGGUAUGGGCG